AGGAGAGAUAAUGGACUAUUGUAGAGUUUGAGCUGUUUGGCUUAUUGUUUCUGGGAUGUUUGGGGAGUUACAUCUGGCACAAAAUUAUGGAAUGGAGAAAGGAGAGAAUGAAGAGGAGAGAGCCUGACCCUGAGAAUCCAGCAGAAGAUCCAGUGAAAAAUUAUUUCGAGGAUCCAUUUUACGAGAUUAAGGAGGAAGAAAUUAUUGAUUGGGUCUAUUCAGUGGCGGAGUGAGGAAGAAACACCAGGAGAAGAUUCCAUCUAUCUUACAGUAUUAUGCCACUUAAAACGAUUACAUAAAAUCAUAAAAUAAAAAUAAAAUGAAAAAAAUC
Long non-coding RNA from Hyla sarda, 331 nucleotides. RefSeq lists it as uncharacterized. The record is from RefSeq and is a predicted model, not a curated record. NCBI's taxonomy places the organism in Eukaryota, Metazoa, Chordata, Amphibia, Anura, Hylidae. The transcript has 3 exons.